This is a small nucleolar RNA of 94 nucleotides. Its record names the gene SNORA70. It matches the Rfam family "Small nucleolar RNA SNORA70". From Rfam's summary of the family: snoRNA U70 seems to be exclusive to mammals and is a member of the H/ACA class of snoRNA which contain H (ANANNA) and ACA box motifs. H/ACA box snoRNAs are involved in the conversion of uridines to pseudouridines (5-ribosyluracil) a constituent of structural RNAs (transfer, ribosomal, small nuclear, and small nucleolar). The record is from Ensembl.
CUGCAAUCAACUAACCUCAACAGGUUUCUUUCUGGUUAGGGACCUGAAGUGCAAUGGCUGCAAAUGGCCUCCCUAAGGGAGCCUGGAGACAGUU